RNAcentral lists this ribosomal RNA (449 nucleotides) under uncultured bacterium. RNAcentral describes it as "partial 16S ribosomal RNA". It matches the Rfam family "Bacterial small subunit ribosomal RNA", at positions 29 to 523 of the family's 1533-position model. The record is from RNAcentral.
AGCGAACGCUGGCGGCAGGCCUAACACAUGCAAGUCGAACGAACUCUUCGGAGUUAGUGGCGGACGGGUGAGUAACACGUGGGAACGUGCCUUUAGGUUCGGAAUAACUCAGGGAAACUUGUGCUAAUACCGAAUGUGCCCUUCGGGGGACAGAUUUAUCGCCUUUAGAGCGGCCCGCGUCUGAUUCGCUAGUUGGUGAGGUAAAGGCUCACCAAGGCGACGAUCAGUAGCUGGUCUGAGAGGAUGAUCAGCCACAUUGGGACUGAGACACGGCCCAAACUCCUACGGGAGGCAGCAGUGGGGAAUCUUGCGCAAUGGGCGAAAGCCUGACGCAGCCAUGCCGCGUGAAUGAUGAAGGUCUUAGGAUUGUAAAAUUCUUUCACCGGGGACGAUAAUGACGGUACCCGGAGAAGAAGCCCCGGCUAACUUCGUGCCAGCCGCCGCCGUAA